AGACAAAUGAAACCCUAGAUCGACAUAGUACUCCCAUACGUUCAGCAACUCCCUCCCUGUCAAUGGCGUCACUGCCAGGAGCAUGCUCAGAUCUAUUUGCCGUUCCCCUCCUUCGCAUUUCAGCACCUAUUGAUCCGGAGCAGCUCCCAGGAGAAUCACAGCAGCUAGCAAUAGACGCAGAAGAGAUACGUGCCGUAUUUUCUCCAGCCGAAGAACAUUCCGUCCAUGACUAGCAUAAAGAACAGCCCGAUGAGGAUGAGGUGGCAAGCAUGGAAGUAACCCACAGCCACUUUUCUUCAUAUGCGGCAUGGUACAAACAAUAUGAGAAUUCACGGCACGGUUCUGAGGCAGUACCAGCGAUUGUCAAAAUACCUUACAGGAUGGUGUUGGAUGUUCUUUUAGAGACUCUGGGCCUUCCAGAAGUUGAGUACCGAACCAGAGUAUAUGAUGGCAGCAGGGUGUGUGUGACUGUAUUGUUCUAUAGAACCACAUCAUAUGUUGGGAAUGAUAUUCCUGGGGUACAAUUUGUUGAUCAAUCAAUGCCAGAAGACAGUGCUGCUAUGGAAGCAAUUGGAUACAUUAAAUGCACAGUGAAGACAGAGAUAAGAGACUAUAACUACAGCACCAUGAAGAAACUCGAGGAGGAAAAUCGGUCUCUAAAACAUGAGCUUUAUAUAUCUAGGUACAACAAGUAGAAGAUGAAGACAAAGAUCAGAUCCAUCAAGAACAAGCUAAUGAUUGUUACAUAUGAGAAGAAGCAAAACGCUAUGGGCUGGUUCGUCUUAACAAGGUACAUGCAUGGAUUAUAUGAUCAUAUAUUCAACGUGGCGGCAUUGAAUAUGUCAUAUGGGAAUGGACCCGUAGAUAAGAUUAUCAGUGACCCUCUUAUCAACAUAGAGAAGGUGGCGCAGAGACUCAAAUGUUGGGUGAUCAAGUCAGAAAAGAAGCUAAGAGCCAUCAGGAUGGGUUUUUAGAACCUGGGCCUUUCAAUCUAUAUUGUAUUCUGCCCCUUUUGCUUGUCGUAGCUGCAGAAGCAGAUGCAAUUGUAUAAUUAGCUUUCUCUUUAAACCAAGACUUGCGAAGCUAUGUGUGUAACAAGUAAUGGUACUUAUGUUAUAAGUAUUUAUUACAUAUGCAAUUCAUGUUUCUAUGGGCACGUGCUCUACGUCUACUGUUUAAUAUAUUCCUAUAUGAACGAUGUAGCCAC
Aegilops tauschii subsp. strangulata is the source of this 1207-nucleotide RNA transcript. RefSeq lists it as uncharacterized. NCBI's taxonomy places the organism in Eukaryota, Viridiplantae, Streptophyta, Magnoliopsida, Poales, Poaceae. The record is from RefSeq and is a predicted model, not a curated record.